UACGUAGGUGGCGAGCGUUGUCCGGAUUUACUGGGCGUAAAGAGCGCGCAGGCGGCCGAGCAAGUCGAGUGUGAAAGCCCCGAGCUUAACUUGGAAACUGCGCUCGAAACUACUUGGCUAGAGUGUGGCAGAGGGAGGUGGAAUUCCACGUGUAGCGGUGAAAUGCGUAGAGAUGUGGAGGAACACCGAUGGCGAAGGCAGCCUCCUGGGCCAACACUGACGCUCAUGCACGAAAGCGUGGGGAGCAAACAGG
Molecule: ribosomal RNA, 253 nt
Filed under: uncultured bacterium
Lineage: Bacteria
Description: partial 16S ribosomal RNA
Rfam family: Bacterial small subunit ribosomal RNA
Source: RNAcentral